This 484-nucleotide ribosomal RNA is filed under the name uncultured bacterium. Its description in RNAcentral is "partial 16S ribosomal RNA". It matches the Rfam family "Bacterial small subunit ribosomal RNA", at positions 29 to 507 of the family's 1533-position model. The record is from RNAcentral.
AUUGAACGCUGGCGGCAUGCUUUACACAUGCAGGUCGAACGGCAGCGCGGGCUUCGGCCUGGCGGCGAGUGGCGAACGGGUGAGUAAUACAUCGGAACGUGCCCAGUAGUGGGGGAUAGCUCGGCGAAAGCCGGAUUAAUACCGCAUACGACCUGAGGGUGAAAGCGGGGGAUCUUCGGACCUCGCGCUAUUGGAGCGGCCGAUGGCAGAUUAGCUAGUUGGUGGGGUAAAGGCCUACCAAGGCGACGAUCUGUAGCUGGUCUGAGAGGACGACCAGCCACACUGGAACUGAGACACGGCCCAGACUCCUACGGGAGGCAGCAGUGGGGAAUUUUGGACAAUGGGCGAAAGCCUGAUCCAGCAAUGCCGCGUGUGUGAUGAAGGCCUUCGGGUUGUAAAGCACUUUUGGCGGGAACGAAAAGGACUGUGCCAAUACCACGGUUCGAUGACGGUACCCGCAGAAUAAGCACCGGCUAACUACGUG